CAUCGGGGUCUGCUACAGCGUCAUGGAGGUCUGCUACAGCGUCAUCGAGGUCUGCUACAGCGUCAUCGAGGUCUGCUACAGCGUCAUAGAGGUCUGCUACAGCGUCAUGGAGGUCUGCUACAGCGUCAUCGAGGUCUGCUACAGCGUCAUCGAGGUCCGCUACAGCGUCUUCGGGGUCUGCUACAUCAUCAUCUAGGUCUGUUGCAGCGUCAUCGGGGUCUGCUGCAGUGUCGUCGGAGAUGCCGUCCACGCAUGAUGCUGGCUUCCGUUGUUCGUCGGUCAUUGAAACUGACGUGCAUCAAACUAGACAGUGGACAAGUGCAACACACUAUCGCUAUUGCAACCACCCACUGUGGGCAAGUGCAACACACUAUUGCUAUUGCAACCACUCACUGUGAUGCAAUGGGCGUCGGCAUCCGGCUGAGGAUCGGACACAGAGCAGAGUUGCGGACACGCAAGCCCCAGCACAUGCGUACUGCGUGGAAGAGACAAGCUGCACUUUUAUUACCCUUCACGGAGCGUUCGAAGAAAGUGCAUCGGACUGAACUGUGGGCCACUGUAACGCACGCUAUUACUGCUGCAAACAUCUACAGUGAUGCAGAGGACAUCAACGGUCAACGUUCAAUUUUGCAUGUGUCUGAAAAAAAUAAUUUUCCGAGUGUGCUGCUUGUUGCCGCUUGUUGCUGCUUGCUGCUGCUGCUAUCUUGCUUGUUGUGCGUGGAUCAUGGUCGUCGUUAUGUCAUAGCAGUGGGCUUGUGCGCAUGUCUGUGUGUGUGUGUGUGUGUGUCUGUGUGUGUGUGUGUGUGUGUGUGUGUGUGUGUGUGUGUGUGUGUGUGUGUGUGUGUGUGUGUGUGUGUGUGUGUGUGUGUGUG
Molecule: long non-coding RNA, 872 nt
Organism: Sycon ciliatum
Lineage: Eukaryota; Metazoa; Porifera; Calcarea; Leucosolenida; Sycettidae
Exons: 3
Source: RefSeq, a predicted model, not a curated record